Molecule: ribosomal RNA, 403 nt
Filed under: uncultured bacterium
Lineage: Bacteria
Description: bacterial SSU rRNA
Rfam family: Bacterial small subunit ribosomal RNA
Source: RNAcentral
UGAGGAAUAUUGCGCAAUGGCCGAAAGGCUGACGCAGCAACGCUGCGUGAGUGAUGACGGUCUUCGGAUUGUAAAGCUCUGCCUUUGGGGACGAUAAUGACGGUACCCAAGGAGGAAGCCACGGCUAACUACGUGCCAGCAGCCGCGGUAAUACGUAGGUGGCAAGCGUUGUCCGGAUUUACUGGGCGUAAAGGGUGCGUAGGCGGACCUUUAAGUGAGAUGUGAAAUCCCCGAGCUUAACUUGGGGGCUGCAUUUCAAACUGGAGGUCUAGAGUGCAGGAGAGGAGAGUGGAAUUCCUAGUGUAGCGGUGAAAUGCGUAGAGAUUAGGAAGAACACCAGUGGCGAAGGCGACUCUCUGGACUGUAACUGACGCUGAGGCACGAAAGCGUGGGGAGCAAACAG